Molecule: ribosomal RNA, 464 nt
Filed under: uncultured bacterium
Lineage: Bacteria
Description: partial 16S ribosomal RNA
Rfam family: Bacterial small subunit ribosomal RNA
Source: RNAcentral
ACGCACGCUGGCGGCGUGCUUAACACAUGCAAGUCGAACGGUAAGGCUCCAGCUUGCUGGGGUACACGAGUGGCGAACGGGUGAGUAACACGUGGGUGACCUGCCCUGCACUUCGGGAUAAGCCUGGGAAACUGGGUCUAAUACCGGAUAGGACCAUGGUGUGGAUACUGUGGUGGAAAGUUUUUUCGGUGUGGGAUGGGCCCGCGGCCUAUCAGCUUGUUGGUGGGGUAAUGGCCUACCAAGGCGGCGACGGGUAGCCGGCCUGAGAGGGUGGACGGCCACAUUGGGACUGAGACACGGCCCAGACUCCUACGGGAGGCAGCAGUGGGGAAUAUUGCACAAUGGGCGGAAGCCUGAUGCAGCGACGCCGCGUGGGGGAGGACGGCCUUCGGGUUGUAAACUCCUUUCACCAUCGACGAAGGGUUUCUGACGGUAGAUGGAGAAGAAGCACCGGCUAACUACGU